GGGCGCGUAGCUCAGCCGGAUAGAGCAUCUGCCUUCUAAGCAGAGGGUCGCAGGUUCGAGUCCUGCCGCGCCUGCCA
Molecule: transfer RNA, 77 nt
Filed under: Bryobacterales bacterium
Lineage: Bacteria; Pseudomonadati; Acidobacteriota; Terriglobia; Bryobacterales
Also listed under: 1 other name
Description: tRNA-Arg
Rfam family: tRNA
About the family: Transfer RNA (tRNA) molecules are approximately 80 nucleotides in length.
Source: RNAcentral